Molecule: long non-coding RNA, 2884 nt
Organism: Astatotilapia calliptera (eastern happy)
Lineage: Eukaryota; Metazoa; Chordata; Actinopteri; Cichliformes; Cichlidae
Source: Ensembl
GCACAAUCGGUGGCUGACUAAAUACUUUUUUGCCCCACUGUACUUGAAACUCCUGUCAAUAUCAAAUGAUUGCAUGGAAUGACUUUGAGUUGCUACUAAGAUUAGUAGACAGAUUAUUUUCUGUCGAGUUAUUUGGAGAGGGGCCAGCAGUCUGUGGCUGUUACUGAAAUUAUGAAUGAAAGUUUCAUCGUGUUAAGUCAUUCUAAUCUGCGCUUAACUCACUGUCUUUAAGCAACCACAACUGCAGCACCAACCACAACAACUACAACUGCAGCACCAGCAACCAUAACUGCAGCGCCAACCACUACAACUGCACCAACAACCACUACAACUGCAACGCUAACCGCAACUGCAGCACCAACCACACCUGCGUCACCAACAACCACUGCAGCACCAACAACCACUACAACUGCAGCACCAGCAACUAUAACUGCAGCGCCAACCACUACAACUGCACCAACAACCACUACAACUGCAACGCUAACCGCAACUGCAGCACCAACCACACCUGCGUCACCAACAACCACUGCAGCACCAACAACCACUACAACUGCAGCACCAGCAACCAUAACUGCAGCACCAACCACUACAACUGCACCAACAACCACUACAACUGCAACGCUAACCGCAACUGCAGCACCAACCACACCUGCAUCACCAACAACCACUGCAGCACCAACAACCACUACAACUGCAGCACCAGCAACCAUAACUGCAGCGCCAUUCACUACAACUGCACCACCAACAACAACCACUACAGCUGCAGCACCGGCAACCAUAACUGCAACAGUAACCACAACUACUGCACCAACAACCACAACACUAACCACCACUACAACUGCAGCACCAACCACCACUACAACUAUAACACCAACCACAACUGCAGCACCGGCAACCACAACUGCAGCACCAACGAAUACAACUACAGCAACAACCACAACUGCACUACCAACCACCACUACAACUACAGCACCAACCAACACAACUACAACACCAACCAUAACUGCAGCACCAACAACCACAACUGCAGCACCAACAACCACAACUGCAGCGCCAACUACUACAACUACAACUAAAACUGCAGCACAAAGCACCACAACCCCUACAGAAGGGUCAACCACCAUUCAAAUUCCAACAGGCCCACAAGCACUUGCACAUCUAAAGAUAAAGAUGACUACAUACGGGCAGGUUAGCAAUGCAACCAUCAUUGCCCUUCUUGAACAGUUUAACACCAAGGUCCUGAAUGGUAUACCCCACAUUCUCUCUGUGACAAACAUUAAAAAAGUUGGAGCAUAAAAAUUGAAUGUGGACACAAGUCAAAAAUAAAAAUAUAAAGGCAAGAAUUUAACAGUGAGUUAGUAGAUUUGUUUCAACAUGAUCCGGAGCGGCAGUUUGCCUCAGUCGCUUCAUCAUAUCCUGAAUGAUUAGUACGUUGGUGUGAGAAGGAGACAUCAGCUGUGCUGCAGUGGUCGACAGCCAGAUGGGCUUGGAUUGCUCUGUGAAUGUAUGAAACCUAAACCUGGGUGAAAGCAGAUCAUAUUUAAAUAUCAAUCCCCUUACAUGAUCAUUUCUGAAAUUAAAUCAAACUGCAGAAACACAAUGCUGUAGUUCCCAUGAAUUACAAAUGCGCUUUUGGUUUAUCAUCUUGAAAAGUACAAUAGGCAUCUCAAACCAGGCAGCUGGCUAAUAAUGUCAAUACUUACUCACUCUGACAAAAUGGUGACUAGGAAAUCAAAUAAUUUAUAUGCUUUGAAACAAAAAAAAUAUUUUAUUUAUUGGUUACGUGUUUUAGUAAUAUCACUUUUGAGUCAUUUAAAAGUACAGAUCCGGAAAAGCAUUAAUUGUACUGCACACACAGCUAGGCCUCUGAGAAAGUGGGUGACACUCAGUGGGUGAGAAUUCCACAGGUGUUAACUUACUGCUCACCGUGUCAAUAGAUUUUAAUUAAAUUUCUGUAACAGAUUCUUGUUAACUCGGCUUUUCCACAUGGAAAACAAGGAAAAUUAUUACUGUUGGUGCAUAAAUACUGCACCCUAAUGAAGAAAAUAAAUCAGUUUUCAGAUAUUACUGACCAACAACACACUUUUUCCCCCUUUGUGGUAUUAGAAUCAAAUCUGUUUUUCAGAAUUUGUUUUUGUAUGUCUGCUGAUUUGUACUGUACUUUAAACUGUGACUAAAUUUUACAAACUUGUCACUCCUGCUACUAAAGUCUCAUAUACACAGAAAUAUAUCUGAUUCUGAUUAUUCUGAAUAAAGAGAUAUAACCAUUUGUAAUGGCCAUUCUUUGUAUCAUUUAUUCUUUCAGAAUUCUUUUUAAAUGAAACUUUAUUCAACUUGUGAAUUUAAAGCAGAUUUAUACCCAUAUACAGAAUAUCAAGAACAACAGCUGUUAGAAAAUACAAGAGAAAGUGAAAACAUAGAUUGCUAUUCAAUGUUAAAUGUGCUCUUCGUAAGUGCCAUUUUAAUAAUUAAUGAAAGAAAACACACCUUAUCUGCAUCAACAAAUAAACUCAACAUGGAUCCAUCAACUCUGACUUGGCCCUGCCAAAAACAUCUAAGACCUUGUGUGUUGAGUACCAUUCCUUCCCGUUCUUUUAAAAUACAUGAUUCUACUUAUCAAAAAAUGCGCACAGGUUCUAUUAUAAACACUACACGGUUUAAAACCAUCAGACUGAGGUCUUUACAAAAUACAAACACUGGUCUAAUCUACAGCAUCGUGUCACCAGCACCAAAGUGCACACAGAGCAAAUUGCGUCCUUUUAGUCAUGUUGUUAACAUCACACAGAAACGUUUAAUCUCCAGUGAGAGGGAAUUCUCUUCAUAAUCUCAUCAUCACUUCUCUUCAGUUGUCCUCUCCGUCUCGCAGCACCUUGUGCACAGCUCU